Dreissena polymorpha is the source of this 4151-nucleotide long non-coding RNA. RefSeq lists it as uncharacterized. The record is from RefSeq and is a predicted model, not a curated record. Lineage: Eukaryota; Metazoa; Mollusca; Bivalvia; Myida; Dreissenidae. The transcript has 4 exons.
AAGAAACUAACUUACGCGUUAUUAAUUCAAUAUACAGUUAGGCGUUAACUCGAUAAACAACGACGUAAUAAUUGUGUUUGAAUAUCAAUACGAAGUACACAUGCAUGUCUUUUGUGGAGAUAUAGUGUGCUUGUUUAGAUAUAUAUAUAUAUACAUGACAUAAAUCUAUGUGUUAUUGUGUGCGACGAGUUGAAGAAAGGUUUACACGGCGAGGCUUUCCGAGACGUGUCGGAUAAAUAUGUUCUUCACUUUCUUUCCAACAUGCCAGUUGCGUCCGCUGUAGGAUCAGUACAAUCAACGGAACACUUAAGUGAGUGCUGAUAUAAAGGGCCAGUAAAGAAACCAAAGAAGUUCGCAACCAAGUCAGAUGAACUUCAGUACUGGCAGAUACAAUAUUUCAAGGGGGAUGUGCAAAAACAGGAACGGGAGAAACAAACUAGUUGAUAUAAAGAUACGCAUGCUGCUGGCAGAGAAAAAGAGACGUGACCAGAAAGUUGUUGAUAAUUUCAUUAAUGGGGCAUAUUUCGAGGACUAAUGAUCAUGGUGCCAUUAAGUUUGUUGCCUCAGUGGAAACCAUUUGCAUUACAUGUAAAUGAACAAAUUUAUCAACUCUUUGACUGAGAAUAAUAGUUUACAAUUUGCUAUUUUGCUUUAUUGAAAACAAAAUAAUUAACAUUGAUUAUUUUAAAUGUUGUUCAGCAAAUAAUUGUGUUAGAUUAUACCCUUUAUAUUUAAUGUCCUUACAUAAAUGCGAGAAACAAUUUUUCUCCAUUACGCGAAAUAUCUAUUCACAAUAUAUUCACGUAUGUGUAUCCCGCUUGCGUGGCCGUUCACUGCAAGAUUGAAUACUGCAUCAUUAUUUUCUUAAUUUUCAUCAGAAUCCCCAAUGUCAGGUUCGUUGAGUUUGAUGCAAAUAUUGUACAGUAUCACGCAUGCUGUUGUUAUCUUGCAAAUCUUUGCCUGCGACAAUCUAACCUGCAAAUAUUGAAAUAAUAUUACUGUUAUGGGCACAUUAAAUAUAGAAACCUUUAAUGAUUUAUAGGUUAAAUUAUGUAAUGAACAUUUACUAAUUUUUUCUGUAAGAAAAUAAUUGACUUUCUCGAACAUUGCAUAUGUAUGAUAUUGUUUUUCAAAUCUAGUAUUGACAUUUGUAAUUAUUCUAAAUAUUAUUAUUGGAUAAGUAGUAUGUGUGCGUACCUGCGCGUGCGUGCGUGUGGGUGCGUGAGUGUGCGUGUGCACGUGAGUGUGCAUGUAUGUAUGUAGUAUUAUUAUUAUCAUUUUUUGUAUUAUUUUUAAAAUGUCCAGGGUUGAAAGAUAAUUAGAAAUCAAAGUCAUUUAAAUGCAAUAAAAAAGUAAAUAUGAAAAUGCAUAGUGUUAUUGUUAGAUGGCAAUGUACAUAUUCACUGUGUGAUAAUUUGGUUGAAAAGUGUUCUACCUACUUUGCUUCAUUAAAAAAUACCUCAUAGUGUAGAACAGCAAAUCUACGCUUGAGUCUCCCAAAGCUCCUUUCAAUGGCUGCUCGUGUCCAGGCGUGGGCUUGCUGAUACCAUUCCUUGGCCACAGAAUCCGUCGCCAGAAAAGGAGUCAUCAUGUACACUUUGCAUUGGUGACUGGGGAAUAUGAAAUUUAAUUACAAUUGUAAAUAGUAUUAAAAUAUUUAAUGAUCUGCUGUUUAUAAAUAAAUAUUGGCAACUAUGAGAGACGUUUUAUACUGGUACAAAUCUAUAAGUCGUGGGUUAGAAGCAGCUUCCCGGUUAGCUCAUAUAGUGUCAGGGUUCGAGAUCUACAUGGUGACUAUAAUGAAGUUAUAUGGUAAAAAAUAUGACGUCUGCGUCUAAGUUUUAAGGCAGGAGGACUAAUUGUGCGUUGUCAGAAAAAUUGGCUUAGUUGAUAAAGUAAGUGUUCCCUAGACGAACACCGAACUAGAUGCUAUUUUAUUUCCGCGAUUACUUAAUAAUAUUCAAACCUCUUUUCCAUUAAAAUGAAUAUAUAACGCGUUUACUUAGCUAAAACAAUUUUAACAUACUCACUAUCUUCUAACAGCACACCAUCUGCAAAGUUCUGAUUUUCCCGCUCCAGUUUGGCACAGAGACCCGACGUCUUGAAUAUGUGGCUAUCAUGGCAUGACCCUAGGCAACUGGCAUUGACACUUGUAAAUUUCCCUGUAUGACAAAAUAACACAACACAAACUAUACAUGAACACGAAGACACUGUAUUUGGAAAUUUAAAUCCCAAAUCAAUGUUAUUUUUCAUGAAGCAUAAUUUACCCUUUCAAUAACCGUUUCAAGUAACGACCGCUUUGACUUUUGAAAUGCUUCAAUUUAUUAUAUCCAAUGUUUGGAAUAUUUCCAUUACUUUUUUAUCAAACAAAAUAAACAUGCAACCAUUUGUUGAAGAAAAAUUGAUAACAUGUUAGUUGUACAUGUGAAACUUUGUAUAUAUUAAAUAACUAGAUAUACGUUUAUAGUUUACUGAGUAUUUGACUUGAUUAAUAUAGAAAUGUCAAUGCUAACAAUGCUUAUACAAAUUCCGGUUCCGGUUUCUGAGUACCAGACGGGCGCUGAAAAUUGUGAAUAAGAAAUUGUGUAUUCCUCCUAAUAUAUCCCCCUCUCAUAGCCAAAUCCCAGGUCUCCCUUACAAAAUCCGGUUCCGGUUUUUGAGUACCAAAUGGACGCUGAAAAUUGUGUAUAAGAAAUUUUGUAUUCCUCCUAAUAAAGCCCCCUCUCAUAACCAAAUGACAGGUCUCCGUUUACAAUACUGAGUGCAUUCCCAGAUGGAAAGGUGUGGACCCCAGCUCUGAAGUCUUUCAGAGAAUAUUGUUAAAAAAUAUUAAUGUCACAUCGCUGGAAAAUCCAAGAUGGUCGACAUUUGAAUUGCUAAGAAAUAGUAUGUGCUGUGAUUGAGACUUAUUAAAUGAAAAACAUUCAUAAGAGAUAUUAUUUGCUGCGAUAGUGACUGAUUAAAUGAAAAACAUUGUCUAAUCAUGAGAAACAAAAAAAUGGUAGAAUGCCUCAGGAAUCUGGCAAUAGAAAUGACCAAGUCAAAUCCCAUGAACAUAGCGAAAGCACUGUUGAUGAAAAUAAAUGCUCUCUGUGUGAAAUUUAUCUGGAUGAGGAAGAAGCUAGGAUGCAAUGUGAACUUUGUAACAAUUGGUUUUGAUAUGUGCUGAAGUAAAACAACUUUUUAUGAUGAGCUUAAUAAAGAUAACCAAGGUAUCUGGUAUUGUAAUGGAUGUAAAAAGGUAAUACCGGAUGUGCGUAAAGUGCUGAAUGUAGUGAGUGCCAUGAAAAUGUAUCAUAAUGAAAUAGUCGUCUUACAACAAUUGAAAGUAAGCUUCAAAAUGUAGGCGCAAAUGCUGAGUUAAAUAUGGAUUUUAAAAUUGAUCAAGCUUUGUAUGAUCAAAGAGAACGUGAGGUAAGAAACACAACAUUAUACUGUACAAUUUACCAGAAUCAAACGCUCAGACAAACGAGGACAAACUAACUGAAGAUGAAGAAAAUAUCAGAAAGAUAUGUGAAUUUGUUCAAAAUCAUGAAAAGUGUGAACCGAUAGAGAUUAAAUAAACCAAGAGACUGGGUGAAAUACAAAGAGGUCCAAAGGCCAGACCUAGACCGAUGAAAGUAGUUCUUCAAAGAGAUAUUGAAAAAGCGAAAGUCGUACGAAACGGUAAAAAACUGAGAGAAAGUGAAUAAAAGGUAGUUUUACACCUGAUUACACAAGAAGACAAAGGGAAUUGAAUAAUACAAUGAAAAAUGAGGUAGCAAAAAGACGAGAACAUGAUCCUUCCUUCGCUUAUCGUAAGUUAAAGAAUGAACUGUAUGGAAGAGGUAGUUAUGUUGGUAAUUCGAAUGGUACGGAAGGUUCAGAAAAUGGGUCAAAUGAAACCUAUCGAAAAGUAAAAAACGUAGAGUCAAUUGUCCAAGUGCUAAUAUCCAUAUUCCUACUCCAUACGAAUCACAACAGGGUGCAAAAAGAGAGACGCGUCAAAGUAAUGCGGUGUCUAGUCUUCUAAAUAUUAUUAUUGAAUAAGAAGUAUGUGUGCGUGCCUGCGCGUGCGUGCGUGUGGGUGCGUGAGUGUGCGUGUGCACGUGAGUGUGCAUGUAUGUAUGUAGUAUAAUUAUUAUCAUUUUUUGUAUUAUUUUAAAAAUGUC